This 253-nucleotide ribosomal RNA is filed under the name uncultured bacterium. Its description in RNAcentral is "partial 16S ribosomal RNA". It matches the Rfam family "Bacterial small subunit ribosomal RNA", at positions 524 to 776 of the family's 1533-position model. The record is from RNAcentral.
UACGAAGGGGGGCUAGCGUUGCUCGGAAUCACUGGGCGUAAAGGGUGCGUAGGCGGGUCUUAAGUCAGGGGUGAAAUCCUGGAGCUCAACUCCAGAACUGCCUUUGAUACUGAGGAUCUUGAGUUCGGGAGAGGUGAGUGGAACUGCGAGUGUAGAGGUGAAAUUCGUAGAUAUUCGCAAGAACACCAGUGGCGAAGGCGGCUCACUGGCCCGAUACUGACGCUGAGGCACGAAAGCGUGGGGAGCAAACAGG